Molecule: unclassified non-coding RNA, 343 nt
Filed under: Hevea brasiliensis (rubber tree)
Lineage: Eukaryota; Viridiplantae; Streptophyta; Magnoliopsida; Malpighiales; Euphorbiaceae
Source: RNAcentral
AUCGAUUCUCUUUGGUACUCAGCCUCAGCUCUCCAAGAAAGAGAGAUCUCUUUGGUUGAUCAGAGAGUCUUUCAAGCUCUUCAAAGUCCAAGGUUCACACGAAUUAAUUUGGUCAAGCAUUCGUCAAAGAUAAAAUGCAACUUUGGUUGCUAAAUUGGUGAUACUGUUGUUUACAGAAGACGGGNAGAAUUUUGUUCUUCAUUAUGGAGUCCUUGUGGAAGCUCUUGUAUUUGCUGGAGCCUGCACCCAUUACCCUAAUAGUGACAGCUGUAGCCGUGACAUUUGGAUCUGCAUUUAGAGCUCUAAAUUAUGGAAAAGAAAUGGAGCGGAAUCGUGACUUAUC